UGAAGCUCCCACCAUAGGGUCUGCGACGGGUAAUCUGUAAAUUGUGAACUCGUGCUGGAUUUAGUUCUUGAUCGAAACUGUUCAGUUAGUAGAACUUAUCAAGAAAAUUAACAAUGUUGAAGAUCAUGCUAAUCGAGUACAAAUUAUUCAAUAAUCAAAGAUGAUCGGUGUAAAUUUAUUUUUCUGAAAAUAGUUUUGGCUGCACUGGAUCACACCCAUGUCGUUUCUUUUUCAGUACUCCUAUUACGGGAGAAAAUUCACUCCGCGGAGAGAGAGAGAGAGAGGGAGAGAGAGAGAAAGCGAUUGUGUGGUUGUUCAGCUGGAGGAAAGGGCCUUCGGGAUUUUGCGUAGUUCAGGAAGGAAUCCAAUGGACUUGUCCCACUGCCAUUGUAACAGGAUGGUGCUAGUCUCGAGGCUGCACUUGAUUGGCUAUACUUGAAUUUGCCUGGGAAUGAGCUUCUGCUGAAGUUUUCUACUGGGACUUCUCUCAAUACAAAUGAAGGGCGGGACAUGGAGAAUUGUGCUUAACAUAAGUUCCUUAAUAUCGAUCAUGCUAGGAGGUGCCGUUGGGAUCAUAUCAACUUCAAGAAAGGAUUGGGGUCCUUCAAUGGAUUCAUCUGCCAAGAUUGAGGAGGAAACGCCUGAACUUAAUGUUAGAAUCAAGGGGCGUUCAGAUGAUAAUACUCUGGAUUCCUGCCAGCCUUCUCAAGCAGUUUGGAUACGGAGAUAUCUGAAAAGUAGAGGACGGUGCUAGUCUCGAGGCUGCACUUGAUUGGCUAUGCUUGAAUUUGCCUGGGAAUGAGCUUCCACUGAAGUUUUCUACUGGGACUUCUCUCUAUACAAAUGAAGGAGGUGCUGUCGGGAUCAUAUCAAAUUCAAGAAAGGAUUGGAGUCCUUUGGUGGAUUCAUCUGCCAAGAUUGAGGAGGAAAUGCCUGAGCUUAAUGUUAGAAUCAAUCUGAGAAUAUUCUGUUUUAAAUGUCCAGAAAGUCAGCAGUGAAUGUAAUUGAUGCCAAGACAAUGUCAGCUGAUCCUGUUGCAGUGGUUGAAUUACCAAAUAGAGUUCCUUAUGGAUUCCACGCCCUUUUUGUUAUAGAGGAGCAACUUCAAGAACAAGCGAAACUCUGAACCUUUGAAGUGACGUAAUUAUCAAAAUGGUUGAAGUAGAGUUCCAAGGGCAUUGGGAGACUUUUUAUGUAUGUGAAGUUAGGCAUUCUCGAUGGUCGGUUUACUCUACCAGUAUUGUAUCUAGACAAUAGAAGUAUUGUAUAUGAUUUCUAAAAAUAUUACGAGACAGCAUUAUACCUUACCAAUGCUACUUUGAUAGGUUACUUUGCUGUAAUGAAUUGUUGUACUUUCCGUA
RNA transcript from Rhododendron vialii, 1361 nucleotides. It is a transcript of the gene named DExH-box ATP-dependent RNA helicase DExH7, chloroplastic-like, with no coding region annotated. The record is from RefSeq and is a predicted model, not a curated record. NCBI's taxonomy places the organism in Eukaryota, Viridiplantae, Streptophyta, Magnoliopsida, Ericales, Ericaceae. The transcript has 6 exons.